UACGUAGGGAGCGAGCGUUGUUCGGAAUUACUGGGCGUAAAGGGAGCGUAGGCGGGUCCGUAAGUUAGGAGUCUAAACCCGGGGCUUAACCCUGGGCCGGCUUUUAAUACUGCGGGUCUUGAGUAUGGGAGAGGAUGAUGGAAUUCCAGGUGUAGCGGUGGAAUGCGUAGAUAUCUGGAAGAACACCAGUAGCGAAGGCGGUCAUCUGGCCCAAUACUGACGCUGAGGCUCGAAAGCUGGGGGAG
Molecule: ribosomal RNA, 245 nt
Filed under: uncultured Pseudomonadota bacterium
Lineage: Bacteria; Pseudomonadati; Pseudomonadota
Description: uncultured proteobacterium partial 16S ribosomal RNA
Rfam family: Bacterial small subunit ribosomal RNA
Source: RNAcentral